This is a long non-coding RNA of Clupea harengus (Atlantic herring), 1131 nucleotides long. NCBI's taxonomy places the organism in Eukaryota, Metazoa, Chordata, Actinopteri, Clupeiformes, Clupeidae. The record is from Ensembl.
CUAUUCGGCGGUCGCCGCGGUUCUAACCUCCUUGCUCUCCCUCGUAAAUGACAAGGCACCUCUAACCUACGGCUUUGUGUCUUGUUUUUUUUCCCCUGUGUGAAUUUCAAAGCAAAAGCGAGCGGUGAAUACCUUUCAGUGGCCGGUACGCGUCGGGGUCGCCCUCUUCGCACUUAAAGACGCUGGUCCAUGCGAGGGCCAAUGCAGAUUUCGGUGGCCGAGGGGUGGAACUCGGAGCAGGCAGGGCAGAACCUUCGACCCUGAGGGACCUCCGGGCUAGCUUUGGAGUAGGCGAGACAGACAGAAACGGAGCGAGGGAGGGAGAGAGAGGGAGAGAGAACAGGAGCAAGCCUCGAUCUGGGAGAGGGGGAGUCUCGACCGCAGUGUAGUGAGAAGGGACUGCCACUGGGGUCAGAGAGCACGUUCUAGAGCACAGCCCCGCUUAGGCAUGGCGGCGUGUAUAGGGUUUGAAUAUGUAGCCUACCCCACUGUACACUGUCUGUAUGCAGGGAGGAACAGCCAUGAUAGACGCGGCGGCGCUUCCAUGUGGUGAAUUUCCAUGCUGCCGUUGUAUUUCGCGCUCUUAGAAUGUCCUUAUUAAGCUACCGAUUGAGUAUUGGGCACAAUUGUGGUGGGCUAGAUCAAAGUGCUAACUGGAUAGUGGUCUUGGACACUGAAAAGUUAAAUGGAGGGUGGAUGCUCGCCGUGCUCUUAUUGACCGGCCUUGGCUUGAUCAGCUCUGAGAGGCGUGACCGAGAGACGCAGUCAAAGCCAAUUACUGAGAAACGGAGGGAACAAUGGUGUCUGAACCAGCAGAAUGGCUUCACUGCCCCAGCUGUUAGUCAUACUUUACUUUUAAGCACAAGAUGAGUUGCAGCACCUGACUAUGACUCUUUGGUCAGUCCAGCAGAGGGUUGGGAUCAUAUGCUUCACGUCUAACAUGUUACUGGUACCUUAGAAUGGGGUAUGAAAUGGUAUAUGUUUCUUGCAUGUUAGAAGAAAUGGCCCUUGUGUGUUGGCACUGGAAAUGUUAUCAUAUGAAUUUUAUAUUUGUACGUAUGUCAUAAAUAUGUCUCAUGUUGCUCUGUGUGUGUGUGUGUGUGUGUGUGUGUGUGUGUGCGUGCGUGCGUG